UAAGAGAGCGGGGAAAGCCCAAGCGCUGCGGCGGAGAGGGUUGCGAGCGCUGGACUUUGUUGGACAUAAGCCCGACUCGGUGCAGGAGUUGUUUUGGCCCGGCUCAUUCGCGGGGUGAACGGGGAUCUGCGCCCAGUGUUCGUGCCCCUCCAGGUCUGUGCAUAUAUCAUGGUGAUUGGCAGUCAAAACUUGCAUUAACUGAAAGCUACAGACAAAAGUUCUUGGUGAUAAAAUGAUCAGUGCAGCAUGAAAUGAAUGAGAAAUUGUAAUGGAAUUGGAAGCAAGCAAAUGUCCCUAUCAUCCAAAAGGGAAGAACAUCCAGGAAUGAUUCGUCACUAAAGAUCUUUUCUUUUUGAUCCAGGGGAGGCUGUUUCUUAAAAGAGUUGCUAUUCAUGAAUGCCCAUCUUGUGAAGAAAACUCUUCCUUUAUUUCACUAAAUGGAAAUGAAGAAAUGCUGCUUUGAUUCUUUUACAGCUCCUCAUCAUAAAAAAUUACCACAUGAAGCUGAAUUAUACAGAUGGAAAGUACAACCCUUGCAAAAAAGCAACUAAAAUGAAUAUAUAGACCUUCACGUAAACCAGGCCUUUGCUUAUGGUUUUUGCCCUCUAUAAGUGAUUGUGCACAUAAUACAAGCAAUUGUCAAUUCUUGUUGACACUUUGAUUCAUUCAGUAUAUUUUAGUAAAAUAAUUCACCGCAAAAAUCUUUGGAGAGCCUAACAAAUCGGUAUGUUCUUAAAAAUACUGUCUCAGAAAUCUUGAUGAAAAAUUGUGGCAGAACGACCAGAGUGUACAUGUGUUGUAAAAGAAAAAAAGAGAAAUAGUUUGAAAGAUUUUUCCAUUGAAAAAAAUUCCUUCCUAAAAGAGCCAGUUUAUAAUUAGAUUUUAAUUGAAGAUUUAAGUAAAUCUUGGUACAAUUCUGUAAAGUUGCACCAGUCAACUUAUGUACAAUUGAAUGUACUUAAAAGCUGGAAAGUGGGGAUAUUAAUAAUAUGUCUCAGAAAAUGGAGGUUGGAGACUUAAAAGUAUAGAAAGUAAGCCUUGGGGCAGUAGAAUUUACUUGGUAUCCCAAUUCUUUCCUAAGGAAUUCAACAAUAAAAGGUACAAUGACUUAACUAUCCAGGCUUUUACCUGAAAGGAACAAUAAUGCCAGUAUAACCUUGUAUGUAAAACUUUCCACUGCUUACAUGAACAAAAGUUGGACAUGCUCAGGAAGGGCUUCUUCAUUAUUUCUCAAUGCGUUACCCAGAGUUAAGGUGGAAAUUGUGUUCUAAACUUGUUUGCGAACAUUCUUUGCAUUGUGUUUGUUUCUACGUACGGGCUGUUUCAAGCUGGGAUAAAAGUUACUUUUUGCCACAACUGGGUGCAAAGGCCUAUGUCUUCUUUCCUUACUGAGUCAUGGAGCACCUUAUUUCAGUUUUAUUAAAAUAUUAAUUUAGGCUUGCUAAUAGUUUAACAAUAUCCUCAAUCUUAGCUAAAGGAAGUGCAUUUGAUAAUUGUUAGUCAUAGCUAAGAAUGUUGAAUGCUUUUGGCUGAUUGAUGGCACAUGUUAUUUUCAGAGGUAAAGUACUGGCUGGUAGAAGAACAUUUGGGAUGCUUGUAUGUUUUAAAUAGUUUUAAGAAGGGGAAUAUACCUAGCAAAGCAUUUUGUAUUUGGUUGCCAUCAUGUUAUGUUUAGCUUAUAUAUGAUAAAAGAGUAAACAUUUUUUUUGCUGUUUUGAAUAAAAUAGAGGUAGUCCUCAUUUAGUGACCACAAUUGGAACUGGCAUCUUGGUUGUUAAGCAAAGCAGUCACUAAGUGAAACUGAUCUGUCGUGAUCUUACUUCAGCUUUCCUUUGCUUUACAGACCUCUGAAUGUCAUAAAUGUGAGGAUUGGUUGUAAAGUUACUUUUUCAUCACCAUUGUAACUGUGGUACGGUUAAUAAGAACUAAAUAAGGACUUACAUGUACAUUUUUUUUUUAAAAAAAGUGUUUCAGUAGAACACUUUCAGAGGGCUUAAAAUCUAUAGCUACAGGACAAAAAAAUGAAAUAUUUACAGUAAUAGUCAAAAAAAUGUGAAACUUAGAAGUUUAUUCAUACAAAAUUGAAAUCUUAAAAUAAUUUGGUUUAUCAGGGUUUUAGAAGUAAACCCUAUCUUAAUGAAACUGUUCUCUGCAAUUCUUGUUAAAAAUUAGAAAACAGCAUGAGUUUUAUCAGUUUUUGGGAUGUUUUAGCUAUUUAUACCUCAAGAGAUAUGUUGUGGGGAAAAUAAUACAGUAGAAUGGGACAGAGUGGGAAUGUAAUUUAGUUUCCCCAAAUCAUUAGAAAACGUUCAUAGUAUUUAAGAAGAAAAUCAAUUCUUUAUCCCCUUUCUCACUAAAUGCCACUGUAAUAAUGUAUCUCUUUCUAUUGAAUACGGCUGCAUUAAGAGUAAACCUAGCAUUUGAGAAAAAAACAACACUGCUCUCUAUAUGCCCGGGAAACCAUUUUACAGUGUAGCUAUCCAUGAGCAUCUCCUUAACAGUACUAGUCACAGGCAGUAUUGCCUUUAUUUUUUAGUUUUACAUACUCAUCUGUUGUCCACCUUGGCAGGAAAUCUUUUACAUUUGAAAGAUGAAGCAAAUAUGGGGCAUGUGCAAUAGUAUAAUAUAUACAUAUAAAUAUAUUUUAAUACUUGUGGACAAAAUGUUACAAGUUGUUUGAGAACAACAAAAUCACCAAUGUCUUCCAUUUUAAAAUGUGUAUAGUUCCAUAAGCAUUAGUGCUUUGUAGCAAAACUGUAGUGCCAUGUUAGGAUCAGUGCAUGAGCCUAGUAGUACUUUUUUUACAAUUUCAGAGUGACAAAUUAAUGAAGCUGAUGAUGUAACUUAUAGGCAACUGACAUGGUUAUGGUCAUGGUCAUGGUCUAAAGAUGCAGUGUCCUUUCUAGGCAAUGGUAGAAGAAACUGAUGCAUAGAAUCAGUGAGAUGUGAAUUUCAUAGUGAUUGCAUGAAAAUAAUCUUUAAUCAGCCAGGUAUAUUUUGAGUGCACUUAAACUGCAUGUAAAACCCUAAUAGAAGUAAUAAUCCUUAACAAAACCCCUUGUGAAUCAUGGAAUAUUUUGCUAUAAUGAGAAAAAUAACUGAUAGUGUAACUUCUUAAAUUUAGGGACUAGAAUAAGCAUAUGACUAGUCUUACCCAUGAAACGUUUUGGUAUGUUUUGAAUCAGAGUUGUUGGUUGUUUUUAUGCUUGCAGUAAUACAGGAAUGGGUAACCUUUUACAAUGUAACUGUUGCUUGUAGAAACUGAAUGAUAGAUUGGGGCUUGCACAUAUCUGCCAAUGGGGCAGAGUGGCAUCUUGCAAAAUUGACUAAACUAGAAAUGCUGUCACUGUACAGCUAAUUCUGAACGCACCUAAGUUAUUAGCAUUGUUCAUUAUUAAAAUCUCAAUUUUUUGCUUACUUUGCUAAUUUAGGUAAAACAUUUACUGGAGUUUUCUUACUAAUUAUUUGGUCACAUUUAUUUCUUGCAUUCAAAAGUCUAUCUUUAUAUUACACUAAUUAAUCUUAGUAGGUCCCCCCCCCUUUUCUGAAGUUACUGCUCCAGUUAGGUAACUCAUCUACUUAAAACUUUAUUUUUGGUUCAAACAAGUCAGGUUUAAGUUAUGAAUCUAGUUCUUUGUAGAUGAUUAUGGUUUAAUUGCUACUUUUAGCUUAAAGGGGAUACUGCAUCUUUUUUUAAAAAAAAAAAAUCUCUAUAAAUGGCCACCUUGACGAGAGAAAAGAUUUCUCUGGCUUUGUAUUUCUUUAUUGGCAAAACAUAAUGAUAAUUUAACUAUUAAGCCAGAGAACUACACAAUUACUUUUAAAGAUCUCUAUUUUCUCGUGAAAGUGGCAAAGUGUGUCGUUUGGAGACGAAUUGUGAAGGCCUGAGCUUUAUCAGGGUUCUCUUGUGAAGAGCAGUACAAGUGAAUGAAAUGGGGCUGAUGAUUGGGAGAAUUGAUGGAAAAAUACCUCUGAAACUGGAAUGCAAAAUAGCACAGUAUGUAGGGGGAAAAAAAUCCCUGAUGCAAAUAAAGCCAUAAGAUGACAAUAAAUAGAACUUUAGUAGCAAUAACUAUUUGCAUGUAAUAGGACUUAACUUGCAUUGGCAAGAAUUGUAUAGUAGAAUAAAUGGUAUUAACCAAAUAGGUUUGCUGUGCUCUAUGUUGCAGGAAGUUGAAUUUCUCAAAAGUUGGUAAAUUCCUUUCUACCACAAAACUAUGUGUUUGAACGCUACAGGCAAAGCUUGGCAAAAAUUCCAGAAUAAUUUUAUUUUUCAAAAUUGAUAUAAUUAGGAAAGAGGUUUAUUGUGUAUGAAACUGACGAGAACUUAUACAGAAUGUAGAUAAUUGAUCAUCAUUUCUGAAGUAACAAAGAAUCCUUGAGGCUGGGUUCUACCCAGAGAUAUAAUUUAGGAGUUUGGAGAACAAGUUUCAGUUCACUCUGCCUGGCAAAUUCUUAGCCUCGUCAUUCUAGAGAGUGCAGUUUAUACCUCUUUAAAAUUCAGUUGCACUAACUUUGUAUGCACGUGCAUACUGAAGACCAAGUAAACUGUAAAUCUAAUGCAGAAAUCUGCCUUAAGCAGGAUUUGAUUGACCAGAUUCAUCUGCAAGGCUGGGACAUAUAUUUAAAGAAAGUGGCUUUACAUUUAUUUUUGUUCUACAUUCUAUGGUAUGGUUUAUCUACACGAUAGUUUUAAAAUAAAAUACAUAUACACAAAUGCAUACAUGUUUAUACACAUUCUAUAGCACAGUUCACCAACCUUUCCAGCUUUGUGAACCAGGAAGAGGAAAUGGUUCCGUGCGAGCAGCCAGCAACUGCAUGCGCAGCUCCAUUUGCACGAGUGGCAUGCGCAUGCACCUCCCGCUCACACAAAUGGAGCGUGUGUGCGCGUGCACUUGCCUGGUACUUGUGCAAGUAGGCAUGUGUGUGCGCCUGCCCGUUUCUGCAGUCCAGUUGCAAACAACUCAUACGCCCACAGCCGUGGCCCAGAGGUUGGGGACCCCUGUUCUAUAGAACUUUCUGCUCUGUACGUAUUUAUACUGAUCAAUGAAAAUUUAGCACAAGUUUCUAAAAUGUUCAGAAGAUUAAUCAAAUAUUUAUAUAGACAAAUAAUUGAUAUAUUUAGUUGACUUUUGGUCACAAAAUACAUAGGAAGCAUUCAUUAAACUCACUAACAAUUUUUCUAACCCUGGAAAAUUAUUUGCACUUUCUGUAGUUGCCUACGUGAUUAUUUAAAUACUUGUUGGCAGAAUCCUAAAGGUAUCUCAUACCUGUAUCAGUACAAUUUUCACUGCUCACAUGUUUUGAGCAGCUAAUUUGCAAAUCUUUUUCACUGUUGGCUAAACUGGUGCUAGGCUAAGAUUAUAACAUUGCUGGUAGAAAAUUUUACUUUCAUAAUCAGAGUCAUGAAUGUGAGGACUCAGGAUUGCAUGCAAGACUUGAAUGUGGUGCUAUUCUGGAAGAACUAGUUAGACUGUUGUUAAUUGCUUAAACAUCUGAAUCACAGCCUCAUCCUAGAGUGCAUUACUGUCUUGAUCUAAGUGAUAAGGGACUAUAGUAUUUGAAUUCCUGGAAAUAUAAUACUGAAAUAUAAUUCAGAUGAGAGAAAAUUCAUAAGUGGCUCUUCAUUGUACUUAAUCUGUCUGUUCUCCAUGUAGUUUCUCCUUUCUUUGAUUGUAAUAAUUACCUUGAUAGCUCUUAAUUUUUGACUGCAGAUCAGUUCCAUUGAAACAUUACUAUUCUUGAUGAAAGGCCCCAUAGACCUUGCAUUUCAUCUGUAAAUAUUUUAGUAUUUUUUAAAAUUAUUUUAAUCAGCACCUACUCUCUAAAUUUUAUGAUAAAAUCCCUCUUAAUAUAAACUUCCCUUUGGAUUUUUAAAUUUUCCUUUAUUUUGCACUUUGAAAAACAAUAAGUCAUGUAAGAAUUCAAGCACAAUAUUAACACUUAGGUGCCAGAAAAUAGCUCUCACAAACAGGUUUCUGGAAAAUAGAUUGCAAGUUCUUUGAUGGUUCAGUCAAGAUUUAGAGAAGCUAAACUGGAUUGAGAUUUUGCAUUCAGUUUGUAUGCUUGGGAUGGGUUACAAGAAGAGCAGGGAAUUUAACUUUCCCAGGAAUGUGGAAAAAAUGGUAGCUGUGCAUAGUGCAUAGCUUUGGGAAUAAAUACAUUGAUGUAUCUCUUAAAGGGGGAUAAAAGAUAAAGGCUUAUUAUUGGAAUCCGAAAAUGAUUAAACAAUGAAUGCACAUUGGCUACGGGAGGAUUAGAGUGACCAUUUCUUGCAUUCUAGAAAAGAAAGCUAUUGUGCAGAGAGGAACUGACUUCAUUCUAGGAACAUGGGAAAUGAAUGAUGGAGGCUUUGAAUCUGAGCACUUCCUAGCUGGUUUUAGAUGGAAUUUCCAAGUUUUCUAAGUCACAGCACAACAAAAAUUCCAUAAAGUGUAGUAUUUCUUAAGGACUGGAUAGUUCAAUCCUUUUCCAUGCAGGUGAAGACAGAUGAUAUUACAGAGCUAUCAGAAUGGAAUACUUGUGUGGGAAAAACCACUGGCACAAGCACAUAGACUCACAAACCGUCUUUUUUUAGAGAUAGUAUUCUAAUUAUGCAUGAUUAAAAUGUAUAGUGUUAUAGCUAUUAUCAGUAAAUUGAUAUAUGCAUUUAUACAUUAUGAAGCAAUAGGAACCAAUAUACCAAUAGCUUGAAUUUACUGCUUUGAUUCUCAGUUUUUUUUAGACAACAUGCUGCCUCUUUAGUAAAGGGGCAAAAUGUACAAAGAAGGGACGAAGCAUGACGCCAAAACUGUGUAUUAGAAAAAGGAAUCAGUAGAAUAAACCCUCUUGGCCUCUUACCAAGUUCAUAGCAGCUCAUGAGCCUACAUAAUAUGAACAUGGUUAAUGGCAAGUUGGGUUUCUUGGUUGCUGCAGUUGUACAAACAAAAAAGGUGCAGAGUUUCAGAGCGCAGAAAAGGGAAUACCUAAAUUCCAAAUGGGGCAAUAAAAAUGAUCUAAGCAGUUUAGGGUUUGUGGUUAUUUUUAAGUAGAGAUAGUAAAUAUAUCCAGAGCCUGUUGUGGCUAAAAAACAAUGAGUAAUUAAAAUGAGUAAGCUGUCCAUAUUUUUCAGGUAUUAAUUCUUUCUAGGACAGGUGUAGCUUUUCAGGUUUUUUCCCACCACUUUGGCAGCUGGAUUAAAAUGAACUGGUUUGAAACCAGCAAUAAUGAUACAUUAUGGAAAUUGGAAAUAGUUAACUAUUAUUCAUUCAAGCUAUAUUUAAAUAGGGGGUAGCUGUAUUGACCUGCUAGACUGAGGAUUGAUAAGAAUACUCAAUUUUGAAAAAAGGUGUAGAACAUGUAGAUAAUAGAAAUAUUAUAGCAGCAUAUCUGUUGCAGCAAAGUCUGUGUUGGCACACACUUUUCCUAUUAAGAUGUGCUAAAAAUAAAUCUCGAGUUUGAAUCUUUAAUUAUACUAGUUUGCAAAAAGGCAGUUUUAGCUUAUCUGAAACUAGUGUAUCUCAAAGUUUGACCUGUUGUCUAGGUAUAAACAUUUGUUAAGGUAUAUUUAUGCAUUUUUUGUUUUUUGUAACUUUCCCAGUUAUACAUAUUUCCAACCAUAUUUUUCUGAACAUUCUUUGCCGGUAAUGAGUAACUUCAUAUUACUAGAUCGACUGAAGCUGUGAUUGAAGUCUUGCAAACAAUUUUAACAACUGAAAUAAACAGUUUCUCAUUUCUAACUUUUUUCCUCCAAAAUUGACUUUUCUUACAGAUUGUUUGCAUGUAUUUCAGCUAAAGAGUAGGAUUUAAGACUGGGCUACUAAAUGGAUAUACUUUUUUCAAAAUAAAAUGUUAUUCUAGUGUUUGAAAACUGGGAAGAAUGGGUAGCAAAAGUUCAGUCUAGAAGAUAACCUACAAAGGUUAUCUCUUUUACUAAGAGAUAAAUUCAUCUGGAUAAGAAAAGACAAGAAAGAGGCUACAUAUAAUCUACUCCCUUAUAUUCAUUAAGUAUCAAUAUGAACAAUUUGUCUAUGUAUAUAUCUAAUAUUUUCCAGAUGGCAGCUUGCUUUUAUAUCUAUGCAUAUUUGGGGAAGGGAAAGAAUGUGUUAAAUGUAUUCUUUUGACACUGUAAACAAUAAUUGUUGAAAAAUGAGCUUUGAAACUCUGCACUUGUAUAUAAUUUUUUAGCAAUAAAGCAGCAUGAGCUGAGAAUGCA
Molecule: long non-coding RNA, 8194 nt
Organism: Crotalus tigris (Tiger rattlesnake)
Lineage: Eukaryota; Metazoa; Chordata; Lepidosauria; Squamata; Viperidae
Exons: 4
Source: RefSeq, a predicted model, not a curated record